AACGAACGCUGGCGGCAUGCCUAACACAUGCAAGUCGAACGAGACCUUCGGGUCUAGUGGCGCACGGGUGCGUAACGCGUGGGAACCUGCCCUUAGGUUCGGAAUAACUCCCCGAAAGGGGUGCUAAUACCGGAUAAUGUCUUCGGACCAAAGAUUUAUCGCCUUUGGAUGGGCCCGCGUUGGAUUAGCUAGUUGGUAGGGUAAAAGCCUACCAAGGCGACGAUCCAUAGCUGGUCUGAGAGGAUGAUCAGCCACACUGGGGCUGGGACACGGCCCAGACCGCUACGGGGGGGAGGAGGGGGGAAUAUUGGACAAUGGGCGAAAGCCUGAUCCAGCAAUGCCGCGUGAGUGAUGAAGGCCUUAGGGUUGUAAAGCUCUUUUACCCGGGAUGAUAAUGACAGUACCGGGAGAAUAAGCUCCGGCUAACUCCGUG
Molecule: ribosomal RNA, 433 nt
Filed under: uncultured bacterium
Lineage: Bacteria
Description: partial 16S ribosomal RNA
Rfam family: Bacterial small subunit ribosomal RNA
Source: RNAcentral